AUUGAACGCUGGCGGAAUGCUUUACACAUGCAAGUCGAGCGGCAGCGCGGGGCAACCUGGCGGCGAGCGGCGAACGGGUGAGUAAUACAUCGGAACGUGCCCAGACGUGGGGGAUAACUACUCGAAAGAGUGGCUAAUACCGCAUACGAUCUAAGGAUGAAAGCGGGGGAUCGCAAAGACCUCGCGCGUUUGGAGCGGCCGAUGGCAGAUUAGGUAGUUGGUGGGGUAAAGGCUUACCAAGCCCGCGAUCUGUAGCUGGUCUGAGAGGAUGAUCAGCCACACUGGGACUGAGACACGGCCCAGACUCCUACGGGAGGCAGCAGUGGGGAAUUUUGGACAAUGGGCGAAAGCCUGAUCCAGCCAUUCCGCGUGCAGGAUGAAGGCCCUCGGGUUGUAAACUGCUUUUAUACAGAACGAAAAAGCUCUUUCUAAAUACAGAGAGUCCAUGACGGUACUGUAAGAAUAAGCACCGGCUAACUACGUGCCAGCAGCCGCGGUAA
This 500-nucleotide ribosomal RNA is filed under the name uncultured bacterium. Its description in RNAcentral is "bacterial SSU rRNA". It matches the Rfam family "Bacterial small subunit ribosomal RNA", at positions 30 to 523 of the family's 1533-position model. The record is from RNAcentral.